Molecule: ribosomal RNA, 561 nt
Filed under: Pichia kudriavzevii
Lineage: Eukaryota; Fungi; Ascomycota; Pichiomycetes; Pichiales; Pichiaceae
Description: eukaryotic LSU rRNA
Rfam family: Eukaryotic large subunit ribosomal RNA
Source: RNAcentral
UGCAUAUCAAUAAGCGGAGGAAAAGAAACCAACAGGGAUUGCCUCAGUAGCGGCGAGUGAAGCGGCAAGAGCUCAGAUUUGAAAUCGUGCUUUGCGGCACGAGUUGUAGAUUGCAGGUUGGAGUCUGUGUGGAAGGCGGUGUCCAAGUCCCUUGGAACAGGGCGCCCAGGAGGGUGAGAGCCCCGUGGGAUGCCGGCGGAAGCAGUGAGGCCCUUCUGACGAGUCGAGUUGUUUGGGAAUGCAGCUCCAAGCGGGUGGUAAAUUCCAUCUAAGGCUAAAUACUGGCGAGAGACCGAUAGCGAACAAGUACUGUGAAGGAAAGAUGAAAAGCACUUUGAAAAGAGAGUGAAACAGCACGUGAAAUUGUUGAAAGGGAAGGGUAUUGCGCCCGACAUGGGGAUUGCGCACCGCUGCCUCUCGUGGGCGGCGCUCUGGGCUUUCCCUGGGCCAGCAUCGGUUCUUGCUGCAGGAGAAGGGGUUCUGGAACGUGGCUCUUCGGAGUGUUAUAGCCAGGGCCAGAUGCUGCGUGCGGGGACCGAGGACUGCGGCCGUGUAGGUCAC